Molecule: ribosomal RNA, 497 nt
Filed under: uncultured bacterium
Lineage: Bacteria
Description: partial 16S ribosomal RNA
Rfam family: Bacterial small subunit ribosomal RNA
Source: RNAcentral
GAUGAACGCUGGCGGCGUGCCUAAUACAUGCAAGUCGAGCGAACAGACGAGGAGCUUGCUCUUCUGACGUUAGCGGCGGACGGGUGAUCAACACGUGGAUAACCUACCUAUAAGACUGGCAUAACUUCGGGAAACCGGCGCUAAUACCGGAUAAUAUAUUGAACCGCAUGGUUCUAUAGUGAAAGACGGUUCUGCUGUCCCUUAUAGAUGGAUCCGCGCCGCAUUAGCUAGUUGGUAAGGUAACGGCUUACCAACGCAACGACGCGUAGCCGACCGGAGAGGGUGAUCGGCCACACUGGAACUGGGACACCGUCCAGACUCCUGCGGGAGGCAGCAGUCGGGAAUCUUCCGCAAUGGGCGAAAGCCUGACGCAGCAACGCCGCAUGAGUGAUGAGGCUCUUCGGAUCGUAACACUCUGUUAGUAGGGAAGAACAAAUGUGUACGUAAAUAUGCACGUCUUGACGGUACCUAAUCAGAAAGCCACGGAUAACUUCGUG